RNAcentral lists this long non-coding RNA (271 nucleotides) under Brassica napus (rape). RNAcentral's name for it is "long non-coding RNA (BNAP_LNC019956)". The record is from RNAcentral. Lineage: Eukaryota; Viridiplantae; Streptophyta; Magnoliopsida; Brassicales; Brassicaceae.
AGGUAUUGUUAAUGAGAGCAUUAAUGACGAAGGUUUAAGGUUGCCUACUUCCAUAACGUUUCUGUAGUUCGUUCGCUGGUAAGAAAAAGACGAUUCGAUUAGACACAGGCGCCGGGUUACAACAGGGUUAGGCCAUAAACCAUUGUCCAACGUUACUCGGACUAAUUUUCUUCGGCUGCUACAACCGUCACAGUUCAUAGGAGUUUCUGAGACGACGACAAUUCAUAUCUAGUACAGGUAAAUAGAUACAUGGCCCAAUAUUUAGGACAUG